RNAcentral lists this ribosomal RNA (253 nucleotides) under uncultured bacterium. RNAcentral describes it as "partial 16S ribosomal RNA". It matches the Rfam family "Bacterial small subunit ribosomal RNA", at positions 524 to 776 of the family's 1533-position model. The record is from RNAcentral.
UACGAAGGGGGCUAGCGUUGUUCGGAAUUACUGGGCGUAAAGCGCACGUAGGCGGAUAUUUAAGUCAGGGGUGAAAUCCCGGGGCUCAACCCCGGAACUGCCUUUGAUACUGGGUAUCUUGAGUAUGGAAGAGGUAAGUGGAAUUGCGAGUGUAGAGGUGAAAUUCGUAGAUAUUCGCAGGAACACCAGUGGCGAAGGCGGCUUACUGGUCCAUUACUGACGCUGAGGUGCGAAAGCGUGGGGAGCAAACAGG